UAGCCCAGGGAAACCUGGAUUAAUACCGGAUGAGACGGGACCCGCGAUGGCGGGACCCGGGAAAGGCGCUGCGGCGCCGCCGGGGGGAUGAGUCUGCGUCCCAUUAGCUAGACGGCGGGGUAACGGCCCACCGUGGCGACGAUGGGUAGCCGGCCUGAGAGGGUGGACGGCCACAUUGGAACUGAGACACGGUCCAGACUCCUACGGGAGGCAGCAGCUAAGAAUCUUACCGCAAUGGGCGAAAGCCUGACGGAGCGAACCGCCGCGUGAACGAAGAAGGCCGUGAGGUUGUAAAGUUCUUUUCGGGAGGGGGAACAACCGUGGCAGGGAAUGGCCGCGGGAUGACGUGAAUCCCGGAAUAAGCCCCGGCUAACUACGUGCCAGCCGCGGC
RNAcentral lists this ribosomal RNA (391 nucleotides) under uncultured bacterium. RNAcentral describes it as "bacterial SSU rRNA". It matches the Rfam family "Bacterial small subunit ribosomal RNA", at positions 144 to 518 of the family's 1533-position model. The record is from RNAcentral.